CGUAACUAUAACGGUCCUAAGGUAGCGAAAUUCCUUGUCGGGUAAGUUCCGACCCGCACGAAAGGCGUAACGAUUUGGGCACUGUCUCAACGAGAGACUCGGUGAAAUCAUAGUACCGGUGAAGAUGCCGGUUACCCGCGACAGGACGGAAAGACCCCGUGGAGCUUUACUGUAGCCUGAUAUUGAAAUUCGGUACAGUUUGUACAGGAUAGGUAGGAGCCUUAGAAGCGUGAGCGCUAGCUUACGUGGAGGCAUUGGUGGGAUACUACCCUAAUUGUAUUGGAUUUCUAACCCGCAGCACUUAUCGUGCUGGGAGACAGUGUCAGGCGGGCAGUUUGACUGGGGCGGUCGCCUCCUAAAGAGUAACGGAGGCGCUCAAAGGUUCCCUCAGAAUGGUUGGAAAUCAUUCAUAGAGUGUAAAGGCAUAAGGGAGCUUGACUGCGAGACCUACAAGUCGAGCAGGGUCGAAAGACGGACUUAGUGAUCCGGUGGUUCCGCAUGGAAGGGCCAUCGCUCAACGGAUAAAAGCUACCCCGGGGAUAACAGGCUUAUCUCCCCCAAGAGUUCACAUCGACGGGGAGGUUUGGCACCUCGAUGUCGGCUCAUCGCAUCCUGGGGCUGUAGUCGGUCCCAAGGGUUGGGCUGUUCGCCCAUUAAAGCGGUACGCGAGCUGGGUUCAGAACGUCGUGAGACAGUUCGGUCCCUAUCCGUCGUGGGCGUAGGAAAUUUGAGAGGAGCUGUCCUUAGUACGAGAGGACCGGGAUGGACAUACCUCUGGUGUACCAGUUGUCGUGCCAACGGCAUAGCUGGGUAGCUAUGUAUGGACGGGAUAAGUGCUGAAAGCAUCUAAGCAUGAAGCCCCCCU
This 865-nucleotide ribosomal RNA is filed under the name Staphylococcus pseudintermedius. RNAcentral's name for it is "partial 23S ribosomal RNA". It matches the Rfam family "Bacterial large subunit ribosomal RNA", at positions 1935 to 2799 of the family's 2925-position model. The record is from RNAcentral. Lineage: Bacteria; Bacillati; Bacillota; Bacilli; Caryophanales; Staphylococcaceae.